RNAcentral lists this ribosomal RNA (431 nucleotides) under uncultured bacterium. Its description in RNAcentral is "bacterial SSU rRNA". It matches the Rfam family "Bacterial small subunit ribosomal RNA", at positions 8 to 422 of the family's 1533-position model. The record is from RNAcentral.
AGAGUUUGAUCCUGGCUCAGGACGAACGCUGGCGGCGUGCUUAACACAUGCAAGUCUACGAGAAAGAGGUAGCAAUAUCUCAAGUAAAGUGGCGCGAGGGUGAGUAAUAUGUAAGUAAUCUACCCAUGGGUUCGGAAUAACGUCGAGAAAUCGGCGCUAAUACCGAAUAAUGCAGCGGCAUCGCAUGAUGAUGUUGUUAAAGUUGUCCCGACUUGUCGGGAUAACUCCUAUAGAUGAGCUUGCAUCUGAUUAGCUAGUUGGUAGGGUAAUUGCCUACCAAGGCUACGAUCAGUAGCUGGUCUGAGAGGAUGAUCAGCCACACUGGAACUGAGACACGGUCCAGACUCCUACGGGAGGCAGCAGUGAGGAAUAUUGGGCAAUGGACGGAAGUCUGACCCAGCAACGCCGCGUGGAGGAUGAAUGCCGUAAGG